GCGAGGAAUCUUGGGCAAUGGGCGAAAGCCUGACCCAGCGACGCCGCGUGAGGGACGAAGGCCUUCGGGUCGUAAACCUCUUUUGUGAGGGAAGAAGUUCUGACGGUACCUCACGAAUAAGCCACGGCUAACUACGUGCCAGCAGCCGCGGUAAUACGUAGGUGGCGAGCGUUGUCCGGAUUUACUGGGCGUAAAGGGCUUGUAGGCGGUUCGUUAAGUCCGGUGUGAAAUCUCCCGGCCCAACUGGGAGGGGCCAUCGGAUACUGGCGAACUGGAGGCGGGCAGAGGAAAGCAGAAUUCCCGGUGUAGCGGUGAAAUGCGUAGAUAUCGGGAGGAAUACCAGUGGCGAAGGCGGCUUUCUGGGCCUGUCCUGACGCUGAGGAGCGAAAGCGUGGGGAGCAAACCGGAUUAGAUACCCCGGUAGUCC
This 427-nucleotide ribosomal RNA is filed under the name uncultured bacterium. RNAcentral describes it as "bacterial SSU rRNA". It matches the Rfam family "Bacterial small subunit ribosomal RNA", at positions 354 to 796 of the family's 1533-position model. The record is from RNAcentral.